RNAcentral lists this ribosomal RNA (508 nucleotides) under uncultured bacterium. RNAcentral describes it as "partial 16S ribosomal RNA". It matches the Rfam family "Bacterial small subunit ribosomal RNA", at positions 33 to 541 of the family's 1533-position model. The record is from RNAcentral.
GACGAACGCUGGCGGCGUGCUUAACACAUGCAAGUCGAACGGAAAGGCCCUGCUUUUGUGGGGUGCUCGAGUGGCGAACGGGUGAGUAACACGUGAGUAACCUGCCCUUGACUUUGGGAUAACUUCAGGAAACUGGGGCUAAUACCGGAUAGGAGCUCCUGCUGCAUGGUGGGGGUUGGAAAGUUUCGGCGGUUGGGGAUGGACUCGCGGCUUAUCAGCUUGUUGGUGGGGUAGUGGCUUACCAAGGCUUUGACGGGUAGCCGGCCUGAGAGGGUGACCGGCGUCGGCGCGUCGGCGAGACGGCCCAGACUGUUGCGGGAGGCAGGGGGGGGGAGUAUUGCCGCCUGGGGGGAGUCGUGGGGCGUCACGGCGGCGUGGGGGAUGAGGGCCUUCGGUGUCUACGCCGUUUUCGCCUGUGCCGGAGGGUGGGUGGCGUUAAUGGGAAAAGACGCACCGGCAAACUCCGUGCAGCCAGCCGGGGUAAGGGUCGGAAGGGAUACGUCUGAUC